This 305-nucleotide ribosomal RNA is filed under the name uncultured bacterium. RNAcentral describes it as "bacterial SSU rRNA". It matches the Rfam family "Bacterial small subunit ribosomal RNA", at positions 334 to 636 of the family's 1533-position model. The record is from RNAcentral.
GUGACCUACGGGGCGCAGCAGUGAGGAAUAUUGGUCAAUGGGCGGGAGCCUGAACCAGCCAAGUCGCGUGAGGGAAGACGGUCCUAUGGAUUGUAAACCUCUUUUGUCGGGGAGCAAAGAGAUCACGUGUGGUCAAAAGCGAGAGUACCCGAAGAAAAAGCAUCGGCUAACUCCGUGCCAGCAGCCGCGGUAAUACGGAGGAUGCGAGCGUUAUCCGGAUUUAUUGGGUUUAAAGGGUGCGUAGGCGGUCCGGAAAGUCAGCGGUAAAAGCCCGGGGCUCAACCCCGGCGAGCCGUUGAAACUGU